AUGGCGCUUCCUUUCAGGGGUUUAGGUUUGCAUCCGCGUUCUGCUUUUUGCUUGACCCUGCCUUGUUUGUCCUUCCCGUUUGUUUCAGCCUACUCGCUGGCCGAGGUCGAGCAGAAGACCCUGGAGUUCAGGAAGGAGAUGACCACCCCGAUCCCCAUCGCGGAGGACGCGUCAGAAUUCGAGAAAUUUCGGGCUAGGGCUUACGAAACAGCUAUGAAAGUUCCUGUUAAAUCAAUAGAGCUUUACUUGGAUCUUAGGGGCGGAAUUGAAGAUCAUGUUUUGGGCAUGGAAAAACUGUUGCCAGACUUAGAUCCGCAGGAGCGGCGUGUCUUUACCCUUGUUCUUGAUCUUAAUGAGACCCUCGUAUAUUCUGAUUGGGAGCCUGAGACAGGCUUGAAGACAUUCAAGAGACCAGGAGUUGAUGCUUUUUUGCAACGUAUGUCAACCCUGUAUGAAGUUGUUGUAUAUUCUGAUCAACUGCAGAAGGAUGUGGAGGAUGUGGUUAAAAGGAUCGACCAAACAGGACGUAUACACAAAUUAUCAAGGCCUGCAACUAAGUACCGGAAGGGUAUACACUUUCGGGAUCUGUCAAGGUUGAACAGAAAUCCUGCACGAGUUCUGUACAUAAGUGCGCAUGCUCUUGAAUCUUUCCUGCAACCUGAAAAUUGUCUGGAUAUCAAACCAUGGAAACUUGAAACUAAUGACACUGAACUGCGGGAUCUGAGUCCAUUUCUUGAGUCUCUUGAUGUUGUAAGGCCUGCUGAUCUUCAUGAAGUGGUUGCUUCUUAUCAAGGGAAGGAUGUUGUUAAAGAGUUCUAUGAGCGAUGCAAACAAGUGCAGAGGGCGAUUGAGGAGCAGAAGCAGCAGCAGCAGAAGAAACGUGAGAGCAAGUGGUGGCGGAUAUUUCCCUGA
Molecule: ribosomal RNA, 912 nt
Filed under: Triticum aestivum (bread wheat)
Lineage: Eukaryota; Viridiplantae; Streptophyta; Magnoliopsida; Poales; Poaceae
Description: partial small subunit ribosomal RNA
Source: RNAcentral